This 1683-nucleotide ribosomal RNA is filed under the name Pterapogon kauderni. Its description in RNAcentral is "16S ribosomal RNA". The stretch from base 98 to 1604 matches the Rfam family "Bacterial large subunit ribosomal RNA". Lineage: Eukaryota; Metazoa; Chordata; Actinopteri; Kurtiformes; Apogonidae. The record is from RNAcentral.
AGCCCAUAAGCUAGCUCCUACCCCUAAAUUCAUCAACCCACUAUUCAUUAACCCCAAAAACCUCAAACGCCAACAAUCAAACCAUUUUCCCCCUCUAGUACGGGCGACAGAAAAGGACAUAAUGAAGCAAUAGAAAUAGUACCGCAAGGGAACGCUGAAAGAGAAAUGAAACAAACCAGUAAAGCAUAGAAAAGCAGAGGUUAAUCCUCGUACCUUUUGCAUCAUGAAUUAGCAAGAAAGCAUUAAGCAAAAAGUAUUUUAGUUUAAUUCCCCGAAACCAAGUGAGCUACUCCAAGACAGCCUGACAGGGCACACCCGUCUCUGUGGCAAAAGAGUGGGAAGAGCUUUGAGUAGAGGUGACAGACCUACCGAACUUGGUUAUAGCUGGUUAUCCAGAAAUUGAAUAGAAGUUCAGCCUUUUGUCCUCUUUCCCCACACACCGGCCACAACCAAACGCGCUAAAGAAGACAAAAGAGUUAGUCAAAGGGGGUACAGCCCCUUUGAAAAAGAUACAACUUUCCCAGGAGGGUUAAGAUCAUAUUACCAUUAAGGAAACGUGUCCUAGUUGGCCUAAAAGCAGCCACCCAUAUAGAAAGCGUUAAAGCUCAAAGACCCUUCCACCCCAUAUCCAGACCACUUAAAUCUUAUCCCCCUAUACACACUGGAUCUUUCCAUACCCCUAUGGAAGAGAUUAUGCUAAUAUGAGUAAUAAGAGAUCCCGCAUCUCUCCCUGCACAAGUGUAUAUCAGAACGAACUGACACCGAAAAUUAACGGCCCCAAAAAAUGAGGGUACUGAGAUAUAAUGGCCUAACCACUAGAAAACCGCCCACUACCCCACCGUUAACCUUACACCAGAGUGCACCCCAGGAAAGACUAAAAGAAAAAGAAGGAACUCGGCAAACACGUAUAGCCCCGCCUGUUUACCAAAAACAUCGCCUCCUGCAAUCCAAGAAUAGGAGGUCCCGCCUGCCCAGUGACAACUGUUAAACGGCCGCGGUAUUCUGACCGUGCGAAGGUAGCGAAAUCACUUGCCUCUUAAAUAGAGACCUGUAUGAAUGGCACAACGAGGGCUAAACUGUCUCCUUUUUCAGGUCAAUGAAAUUGAUCUCCCCGUGCAGAAGCGGGGGUAUUAACAUAAGACGAGAAGACCCUAUGAAGCUUCAGACACCAGAACAGAACAUGUAAAAAACCCCAUAUAAGGGACCAAACCUAGUGAUUGCUGUUCAAUUGUCUUUGGUUGGGGCGACCCCGGAGCAAAAAAAAACCUCCCGUGUGGAAUGGGGAUACCUCCCUCAAAACCAGAGCGACAGCUCUAAUAAACGGAACAUCCGACCAAAUCUGAUCCGGCAAAGCCGAUCAACGGACCGAGUUACCCUAGGGAUAACAGCGCAAUCCUCUUCUAGAGCCCAUAUCGACAAGAGGGUUUACGACCUCGAUGUUGGAUCAGGACAUCCUAUUGGCGCAGCCGCUAUUAAGGGUUCGUUUGUUCAACGAUUAAAGUCCUACGUGAUCUGAGUUCAGACCGGAGCAAUCCAGGUCAGUUUCUAUCUAUGAUAUAAUUUUUUUCCAGUACGAAAGGACCGAAAAGAAGGGGCCCAUGCUAAAAGCACGCCUCAUUCUCACUUAAUGACAACAACUAAAAUAAGUAAGAGAAUACAUUUCUCUUAUCUAAGAAAAAGAUU